GAAAUCCGGAUUAAUACCCCAUAAUGCAGGGGUACCUCCUGGUACUAUUUGCUAAAGAUUUAUCGGUUGUGGAUGGGCAUGCGUCUGAUUAGUUUGUUGGUGAGGUAACGGCUCACCAAGACGGCGAUCAGUAGGGGGUCUGAGAGGAUGAUCCCCCACACUGGCACUGAGAUACGGGCCAGACUCCUACGGGAGGCAGCAGUAGGGAAUAUUGGGCAAUGGGCGAGAGCCUGACCCAGCCAUGCCGCGUGAAGGAUGAAGGCCUUCUGGGUUGUAAACUUCUUUUAUACAGGAAGAAAAAGGUCAUGCGUGACCAAUUGACGGUACUGUAUGAAUAAGCACCGGCUAACUCCGUGCCAGCAGCCGCGGUAAUACGGAGGGUGCAAGCGUUGUCCGGAUUUAUUGGGUUUAAAGGGUGCGUAGGCGGUGCGUUAAGUCAGUGGUGAAAUCUCUCGGCUCAACCGAGAAACUGCCAUUGAUACUGGCGCACUCGAGUACGGACGANGUAGGCGGAAUUUAUGGUGUAGCGGUGAAAUGCAUAGAUACCAUAAAGAACACCGAUAGCGAAGGCAGCUUACUAGACCGU
Molecule: ribosomal RNA, 586 nt
Filed under: uncultured bacterium
Lineage: Bacteria
Description: bacterial SSU rRNA
Rfam family: Bacterial small subunit ribosomal RNA
Source: RNAcentral